UUUACCUUUAUUGUACAUAGUCCUGCUAUCUGCAGCUGGAUCUCUGUUGAGUGUAGCUGCAUUCAUGAUGUGCUGCAUCUGCAAGAAAUAUAGACAAACAGUUGAGAUCCAGGAGGAAGACAGAACUGAUUCAGCAUUGCGUAAACCAAAAACAAGAAAAACGAAAUCAAAGGUGGAUCAUGUGUAUGAAAACAUACCCAAAAAGCGAUGAUCAAAUAGGCCGACUAUCUCCUUCAGACAAUUCUAGAGGACAAUACCGAAGAAUGUAUUAUUUUCUUAGAUAUCCCUGUUUUGUUUUCACUCUUUGUAUGAUAUCUUUGUAGUUAUUAUGUCAAAUAAAACAGAUUUUAUUUAGUUGCAUAGCCUACAGAAAUUUGCCUGAUUAUAAUUAAUAAAUAUCAUAUUAUUCCUACCCUCA
Carassius auratus (goldfish) is the source of this 418-nucleotide long non-coding RNA. RefSeq lists it as uncharacterized. Lineage: Eukaryota; Metazoa; Chordata; Actinopteri; Cypriniformes; Cyprinidae. The record is from RefSeq and is a predicted model, not a curated record. The transcript has 3 exons.